GGGCCCGCACAAGCGGUGGAGUAUGUGGUUUAAUUCGAUGCAACGCGAAGAACCUUACCAGGGUUUGACAUCCUGCGAAUUUCUGGGAAACCGGAAAGUGCCUUCGGGAACUCUGAGACAGGUGCUGCAUGGCUGUCGUCAGCUCGUGUUGUGAAAUGUUGGGUUAAGUCCCGCAACGAGCGCAACCCUUAUCCUUGUUUGCCAGCGAGUAAUGUCGGGAACUCCAGGGAGACUGCCGGUGAUAAACCGGAGGAAGGUGUGGAUGACGUCAAGUCAUCAUGCCCCUUACAUCCUGGGCUACACACGUACUACAAUGCUACGGACAAAGGGCAGCAAGUUCGCGAGGACAAG
This 351-nucleotide ribosomal RNA is filed under the name uncultured bacterium. RNAcentral's name for it is "bacterial SSU rRNA". It matches the Rfam family "Bacterial small subunit ribosomal RNA", at positions 917 to 1267 of the family's 1533-position model. The record is from RNAcentral.